GGAGACUCAGCCGUUGGGAAGUUAAGCGGUGCCGAGGCUUUCCAGGUGGAACUAUUCUGAGUAUGAUCAGAAGAACAAGCUAUACUGAAAAAAGAAAUGUUGUGAAGGUCUUGUCAGUGGUACUGAGACUAAUUGGAGAUACAUGGGGUAUUUGGAUGUGCAUCGAAGAUACCAAUAUGGAGGUGGAAGAAAUUGCAAGUGACAAAGCAGGAAAAUCCAUGGCUUUGGUUCCAACUGGAUAGGACAGGAUGAGAGAAGCCCAUCUCUCUGCUGCCAAGGAAGGACACCUGCAGUGCACGCCUGGUUCCAGCUCCAGGCAGGGAUCCAGUUCCUACUAUGGAUCAAUCUGGAUUCUCACCUUCUCCCUUUUUCCUGUGAACCCAGGAAAAGCAGCAACUUAACUUUUUUCAGGUCUUUCAACAACUCCACAGUGUGUCCUUUUUAUUUAAGCCUCUCUGGUUGAAAUACCUGGUUUAUACUCACUAUUGUAAUAUCAAAGGUAAGAACUUUUUUCACUCUGAAUUUAAACACGGUUUAACAUUGAUCACUUAGCUUUCCGAUCAUUAUAAAUACAGAGUGAAAUACAGAAACUGGUAGAGACAUAGUUCCUUGAGCCACAUGCCCGAAUAGACUGUGACAAGGAAGCUUCUAGCAGUAUCUUUGUUAGUGAGUAAGAAAUGUAGCUUGAACUAUCCAGGUACAUGUCGUUUAUUUGCGGCACUAGCAAAGGAAACCAAGUGUCCCCCAAACUCCAUUUAGUGGGCAUUUUGUCAAAAGUGUAUCUACAUAGACAACACAACAGAGAACUCAGUUCAUUCUGGUAACUUUAAAGACAUUUUUGUGGUCACUGUUGCAUACUUGGUCAGAAGUUAUCAACAAUCUGCAAUGUAGAAGCUGGAGUUACCUCAAGUCGCAGUAAAGUCCAUUCAAUAUGUAAUAAGAGACUAUGUUCUCCUGGGAAUAGGAACCCUCCUGUCCCUUCUCCUCUAACAUGUGGAGUGUUACUAGUUAGUUUUUAAUUGUCUAGUUGUCACAAGCUACAAUCACCUGAGACUGCCUGACUUGAAGAAUGGUCCAGAUUGGGUUUCCCUGUGAGCAUGUCUGUUUGGCUUGAUUAUCAAUUGAUGGAGGAAGAUCCAACUCAUGGUGAGUGGCUCCCAGCCCUAGCUGGGUGUGUGCAGUGAAGCUGAGCUGUGUGAGAAUGAAGAAAUGUAGUUGAAGAUAGCAAUGAGCAAGGACACUGCCUGGGUACAACCAUUUCUCUCUGCAUUUGACUGUGGACAUGAGGGAUGAGCUGCUUGCAUUCCUGUCUUGGCUUCCCCAGAAGAAAGAACCAUGAUGCAGGGUUGUAAACCAAAUAAACCCUUUCCUUCUCCAUGCAUCUUUUUGACAGGGUAUUUGUCAUGCCAGCAGAAAUGAAAUGAGAACACAAAGGAACAAA
Molecule: long non-coding RNA, 1441 nt
Organism: Mesocricetus auratus (golden hamster)
Lineage: Eukaryota; Metazoa; Chordata; Mammalia; Rodentia; Cricetidae
Exons: 2
Source: RefSeq, a predicted model, not a curated record